This is a non-coding RNA of Acyrthosiphon pisum (pea aphid), 198 nucleotides long. Lineage: Eukaryota; Metazoa; Arthropoda; Insecta; Hemiptera; Aphididae. The record is from Rfam.
AUAUCAUAGAUUAAGCAUAGUAUAUAUAGUAAAAGGUACUAUGGUAUAUAAUCUAUGAUCAUGGAGAUAUUAUUUAUGUGAGAAUCAUUGUAUACAAGCACAAUUAUUUUUCUAAAUUGGUGGAGAUUUUGGGGCUUGCUCCUGCUCCACCACGGGUUGACCCGGUAUUGUACUACCACCGGGAACGGCCCAAUAAUG